CUUGGUCAUUUAGAGGAAGUAAAAGUCGUAACAAGGUCUCCGUUGGUGAACCUGCGGAAGGAUCAUUACCGAGUGCGGGCCCUCGCGGCCCAACCUCCCACCCUUGUCUCUAUACACCUGUUGCUUUGGCGGGCCCACCGGGGCCACCUGGUCGCCGGGGGACGCACGUCUCCGGGCCCGCGCCCGCCGAAGCGCUCUGUGAACCCUGAUGAAGAUGGGCUGUCUGAGUACUGUGAAAAUUGUCAAAACUUUCAACAAUGGAUCUCUUGGUUCCGGCAUCGAUGAAGAACGCAGCGAAAUGCGAUAAGUAAUGUGAAUUGCAGAAUUCCGUGAAUCAUCGAAUCUUUGAACGCACAUUGCGCCCCCUGGCAUUCCGGGGGGCAUGCCUGUCCGAGCGUCAUUUCUGCCCUCAAGCACGGCUUGUGUGUUGGGUGUGGUCCCCCCGGGGACCUGCCCGAAAGGCAGCGGCGACGUCCGUCUGGUCCUCGAGCGUAUGGGGCUCUGUCACUCGCUCGGGAAGGACCUGCGGGGGUUGGUCACCACCAUGUUUUACCACGGUUGACCUCGGAUCAGGUAGGAGUUACCCGCUGAACUUAAGCAUAUCAAUAAGCGGAGGA
RNAcentral lists this ribosomal RNA (617 nucleotides) under uncultured fungus. RNAcentral describes it as "eukaryotic LSU rRNA". The stretch from base 247 to 400 matches the Rfam family "5.8S ribosomal RNA". The record is from RNAcentral. Lineage: Eukaryota; Fungi.